This 330-nucleotide ribosomal RNA is filed under the name uncultured eukaryote. RNAcentral's name for it is "partial 18S ribosomal RNA". It matches the Rfam family "Eukaryotic small subunit ribosomal RNA", at positions 1470 to 1796 of the family's 1831-position model. The record is from RNAcentral.
CCCUUAGAUGUCCGGGGCUGCACGCGCGCUACACUGAAUGAAUCAGCGUGCUAGAAAACCUUGUUUGACAUGGCUAGGUAACCCAUUGAAAAUCAUUCGUGAUUGGGAUCGGGACUUGCAAAUGUGUCCCUUGAACGAGGAAUUCCCAGUAAGUGCGGGUCAUCAGCUCGCGUUGAUUACGUCCCUGCCCUUUGUACACACCGCCCGUCGCUGCCCGGAACUGAGCCGUUUCGAGAAGAUUGAGGAUUGCUGACUUGAGGCCUUCACGGGCUUCUAGUCGGUGAAAAUCAAUUUAAUCGCAGCGGCUUGAACCGGGCAAAAGUCGUAACA